This 488-nucleotide ribosomal RNA is filed under the name uncultured bacterium. RNAcentral describes it as "bacterial SSU rRNA". It matches the Rfam family "Bacterial small subunit ribosomal RNA", at positions 91 to 578 of the family's 1533-position model. The record is from RNAcentral.
GAGACCGGCGCACGGGUGCGUAACGCGUAUGCAAUCUACCUUUUACAGUGGGAUAGCCCAGAGAAAUUUGGAUUAAUACCACAUAGUAUAUCAUUUUCGCAUGAAGGAGAUAUUAAAGUCACAACGGUAAAAGAUGAGCAUGCGUCCCAUUAGUUAGUUGGUAAGGUAACGGCUUACCAAGACUACGAUGGGUAGGGGUCCUGAGAGGGAGAUCCCCCACACUGGGACUGAGACACGGCCCAGACUCCUACGGGAGGCAGCAGUGGGGAAUAUUGCACAAUGGGCGCAAGCCUGAUGCAGCAACGCCGCGUGAGGGACGACGGCCUUCGGGUUGUAAACCUCUUUUAGUAGGGAAGAAGCGACUGGGUUUUCCUGGGAGUGACGGUACCUGCAGAAAAAGCACCGGCUAACUACGUGCCAGCAGCCGCGGUAAUACGUAGGGUGCAAGCGUUGUCCGGAAUUAUUGGGCGUAAAGAGCUCGUAGGCGG